AAGGUUUCCGUAGGUGAACCUGCGGAAGGAUCAUUAGUGAAUAAACCGUGUGGGUUGUUGCUGACCUCCUCGGAGGUAUGUGCACGCUCAUCAAUGUUUCAUUCAUCCUCUCACCUGUGCACACACUGUAGGCCAGACCAUCGCUUUUCAGGGGCUCUCUCUGGUGUGAGGAAUGUGCUCCAAUGCUGGGGCUUUCCUUGGAUAGUCUGGUCUAUGUCUUUACUCACACCAUGUAUGUCAUUGAAUGUAUGUUCUGAGCUCCGGCUCAUAAAACAAUAUACAACUUUCAACAACGGAUCUCUUGGCUCUCGCAUCGAUGAAGAACGCAGCGAAAUGCGAUAAGUAAUGUGAAUUGCAGAAUUCAGUGAAUCAUCGAAUCUUUGAACGCACCUUGCGCUCCUUGGUAUUCCGAGGAGCAUGCCUGUUUGAGUGUCAUUAAAUCCUCAACCUUACCUCUCUUGUUGGAGAGCUGUGAGGCUUGGAUGUGGGAGCUGCUGGCUGUCACGGUCAGCUCUUCUGAAAUGCAUUAGCAGAGCCCUGCAUGCGCAUCUGUCACCUGGUAUGAUAGUCAUCUAUGCCAUGUGCGUUGUGCAUGAUCUGCUUCGAACCGUCUUGUCUCAAGACAACACUCUGACGAUUUGACC
RNAcentral lists this ribosomal RNA (644 nucleotides) under Pluteus diettrichii. Its description in RNAcentral is "eukaryotic LSU rRNA". The stretch from base 282 to 435 matches the Rfam family "5.8S ribosomal RNA". Lineage: Eukaryota; Fungi; Basidiomycota; Agaricomycetes; Agaricales; Pluteaceae. The record is from RNAcentral.